UACGGGGGGGGCAAGCGUUGUUCGGAAUUACUGGGCGUAAAGGGCUCGUAGGUGGCCAACUAAGUCAGACGUGAAAUCCCUCGGCUUAACCGGGGAACUGCGUCUGAUACUGGAUGGCUUGAGUGUGGGAGAGGGAUGCGGAAUUCCAGGUGUAGCGGUGAAAUGCGUAGAUAUCUGGAGGAACACCGGUGGCGAAGGCGGCAUCCUGGACCAUUACUGACACUGAAUAGCGAAAGCCAGGGGAGCAAACGGG
RNAcentral lists this ribosomal RNA (253 nucleotides) under uncultured bacterium. Its description in RNAcentral is "partial 16S ribosomal RNA". It matches the Rfam family "Bacterial small subunit ribosomal RNA", at positions 524 to 776 of the family's 1533-position model. The record is from RNAcentral.